CGGGUAGCUCAGUUGGUAGAGCAGGGGACUGAAAAUCCCCGUGCCGAGGGUUCGAGUCCCCCUCCGA
RNAcentral lists this transfer RNA (67 nucleotides) under bovine gut metagenome. It matches the Rfam family "tRNA". From Rfam's summary of the family: Transfer RNA (tRNA) molecules are approximately 80 nucleotides in length. Their secondary structure includes four short double-helical elements and three loops (D, anti-codon, and T loops). Further hydrogen bonds mediate the characteristic L-shaped molecular structure. tRNAs have two regions of fundamental functional importance: the anti-codon, which is responsible for specific mRNA codon recognition, and the 3' end, to which the tRNAs corresponding amino acid is attached (by aminoacyl-tRNA synthetases). tRNAs cope with the degeneracy of the genetic code in two manners: having more than one tRNA (with a specific anti-codon) for a particular amino acid; and 'wobble' base-pairing, i.e. permitting non-standard base-pairing at the 3rd anti-codon position. RNAcentral also lists the same sequence under 1 other name. The record is from RNAcentral.